RNAcentral lists this ribosomal RNA (482 nucleotides) under uncultured bacterium. RNAcentral's name for it is "partial 16S ribosomal RNA". It matches the Rfam family "Bacterial small subunit ribosomal RNA", at positions 30 to 507 of the family's 1533-position model. The record is from RNAcentral.
AUUGAACGCUGGCGGCAUGCUUUACACAUGCAAGUCGAACGGUAACAGGCCGCAAGGUGCUGACGAGUGGCGAACGGGUGAGUAAUGCAUCAGAACGUGCCCAGUCGUGGGGGAUAACUACUCGAAAGAGUAGCUAAUACCGCAUACGAUCUAUGGAUGAAAGCGGGGGACCGUAAGGCCUCGCGCGAUUGGAGCGGCCGAUGUCAGAUUAGGUAGUUGGUGGGGUAAAGGCUCACCAAGCCAACGAUCUGUAGAUGGUCUGAGAGGACGACCAGCCACACUGGGACUGAGACACGGCCCAGACUCCUACGGGAGGCAGCAGUGGGGAAUUUUGGACAAUGGGCGCAAGCCUGAUCCAGCAAUGCCGCGUGCAGGAAGAAGGCCUUCGGGUUGUAAACUGCUUUUGUACGGAACGAAACGGCUCUGGUUAAUACCCGGGGCUAAUGACGGUACCGUAAGAAUAAGCACCGGCUAACUACGUG